Long non-coding RNA from Zerene cesonia (dogface butterfly), 525 nucleotides. RefSeq lists it as uncharacterized. NCBI's taxonomy places the organism in Eukaryota, Metazoa, Arthropoda, Insecta, Lepidoptera, Pieridae. The transcript has 2 exons. The record is from RefSeq and is a predicted model, not a curated record.
UAUGCUUAUGGUUGAAAGACCGUGUAUGACACGUAACACAUUUAUAAUGUACAUUAGGAUGCUAAAAUUGAGUAAAAGGAAACCUGUUAGCACAGUACACUAGCAGCUCCUCAGAGGAUAACACGUAAAUAUGAUACCUCGACGUGUUUUGAACUUAUUAAUAACCAUGAUGAUAUUAUUAGCGGCUGCGAUCUUGGAAACGAACAAGUGCCCAGUUAAUCACAUUGCUGUUAAAGGGGCAGGAGGUACCGUGCGAUGCUUACCUAAAGAAUAAGUAUAUUUCUAACCGUAAGGCCUUGAUCUUAUGGAAUUAGCUUGAUUAAAAAGGGUUAAAAUGUAAACACCCAUUAUGCAUAUCCUGUAAUGUUAAUUUCGAAGUUUGUGUAUUUUUUUUUUUGUAAAUUUAAACAUAUCUAAACCUACGCAAGAAGAAUUUAUAUUGUAACUAACUGCGACCAUUAUGUUUCGUGUAUUCUUAAAUAUGAAUUAUGUUUAUAAUAAUUUGGAAAUAAAAUACUUUAUGCG